GCAGCCUCACUCCUAAGCCUUCACGUGCAGGUCACCCCUUGCUCCAGUCGGCAGCCUCCCAACAGCAGCAGCACAAGGCUCUCUAAAAAGAGAAAGUUUGAGGGAAACAACGAUGAGGGUGAGGAGGGGCACGAUUUAUAGGCGCAUGGGUAGGUGAGGGUAACUGUGACUGAUGUCGCUGGGUGGUUGAGAAAAGAGUUGUAGCUGGCGUCACUCGCGCAGCACUGAUAGGUACAGCGUGACGCUGACACUGCUGACGGUUGCACACUUUACCAUCCGCACACGGCGUUACUCCAGGCGGUGAUGCUCUUGACGGCAACAUGGUUGCGGCGAUGCUCUAGAUGACGAUACGCUCGCGGCGAUGCUCCAGAUGCUGAUACACUCGUGGCGAUAGUCCAGAUGGCAAUACACGCUCGCGACAAUGCUCCAGACGGCGAUACGCUCGCAGCGAUGCUCCAGACGGUGAUAUGCUCAUGGCGGUGCUUCAGGCAGUGAUACGCAGUCGUGGCGAUGCUCCAGACGGCGAUACGUGCAUGGCGAUGCUCCAAACGGCGAUGCCCCAAGUCGAUGGGUGGUGUUGCUUCAACCGGCGAUGCUUGAUUUUCUCUUUCUCUCCUCACUCAUGGUGCUAGGCCUCCUCAUGUGCUCGAUGUUACUCUUCCUUCCGCCGACGGUGGUGUGCAGACGGUGUUACGCUAUUUCAUGCGCGACGUCUCACGAAUAGUGUUGCUUCUCUUCACCCUCGGCGUUACGUAUCCCGCCUUUCAUGCGCGGUGCUAGCCCAGGCGGCGUUACUCUAAACGGUGAUGCCUCCAUUCAUGCGCGGCGUUAGUCUAGCCUACGCACGACGUCGACCCUUAUACCUGCAGCAAUACCCUCAUUUGAACGCAGCAUUGCCUCCAUGUUACAUGGACAGUACUAGGCCAAAUCACACGGACGGCGCUAUCUUUCGCCCUUAGCGCCGGGCAUGCGUUCUUGUCUCUUACGGCUUCCUUCUCUC
Molecule: long non-coding RNA, 1000 nt
Filed under: Amborella trichopoda
Lineage: Eukaryota; Viridiplantae; Streptophyta; Magnoliopsida; Amborellales; Amborellaceae
Description: long non-coding RNA (ATRI_LNC001204)
Source: RNAcentral